UACGGAGGGUGCGAGCGUUGUCCGGAAUCAUUGGGCGUAAAGGGCGCGUAGGUGGCCCGGUCAGUUCGUGGUGAAAGCGCGGGGCUCAACCCUGCGUCGGCCAUGAAUACUGCCGCGGCUGGAGCACUGUAGAGGCAGGCGGAAUUCCGGGUGUAGCGGUGGAAUGCGUAGAGAUCCGGAAGAACACCGGUGGCGAAGGCGGCCUACUGGGCAGUUGCUGACACUGAGGCGCGACAGCGUGGGGAGCAAACAGG
This 254-nucleotide ribosomal RNA is filed under the name uncultured bacterium. RNAcentral describes it as "partial 16S ribosomal RNA". It matches the Rfam family "Bacterial small subunit ribosomal RNA", at positions 524 to 776 of the family's 1533-position model. The record is from RNAcentral.